GUGGAGAAUGUCAUGUUGACAAAAUGUAAAGACGAUAUUCGCGAGCAUCUUUCAAGCUGCCACUUGUCUUGGGAAAAUAUCGAAGAGUAUGAAUUAAUCUUAGGGACGGACCAUUAGAUAUUUGAGGGGGGGAGUUGGGAGGGGGGGCAAAUACCAAAAAAAUUCGCGAACAGAAAAAUUUCAGAAGAAAAUAUCGUGCACAACAAACCUAUUGAAAAAAAAA
Molecule: non-coding RNA, 223 nt
Organism: Paramuricea clavata
Lineage: Eukaryota; Metazoa; Cnidaria; Anthozoa; Malacalcyonacea; Plexauridae
Source: the annotation of a GenBank genome assembly